RNAcentral lists this long non-coding RNA (9712 nucleotides) under Lynx pardinus (Iberian lynx). Lineage: Eukaryota; Metazoa; Chordata; Mammalia; Carnivora; Felidae. The record is from RNAcentral.
CCCUUCCGUUUCUUCGCCUUUUCUUUCAGUUUGUGGAUGCUCUCUGGAGCCCCAGAAGUGCAAGAAUGAAUAACAAAGAUAACAGUUACUUAUAACAAUAGUCUGUCUCCGAAAACAUCAUCUGAAGGCAGUCCCACCACCUCCAGUCCCAUUCCCUUCCCGGUCCCUCCCCCAUUCCUCCCGAAGGGGGCGCAGUCUCUAAUCCAACCGAAACCUGGUUCCCCGACUCCCAUCCUCCCUGCCGGGCAGGAAUUGUUUUCCUAUUACAUCCUUCUCUCGCACCUUCCCCGCUUCCCGCAGCAGCCUCCACUGUCCUCACCGUCCCCAUCCUCAUCCAUGGCGAAAUCCUCGCCCCCGGCCUCAUGAAGAUCCAGCACGUCCGCCAUCUUGCCUCCCUUCUUGCUCUCGUCCGUGCCGCUCAGGCACUAGGCACCUCGGGAAACUGUCGCGGAGGGGAAAGGUCGCUAGUCAAGUUGACCAAUCAAAAGCUAAGUCUAAGUCCCGCCCCCGGCGCAGCGAAAAUACGCAAUGGAGGCGGGCCUUAUUCGGGAAGAUGCCGGAAGUGUUCCUGUAGCCAUCUUGAGCAAGUGGUCAGCUGAACAGAGUGGCACUGUUAGGGACAAGGUAACGGGUGGCUGCAGGCAGUGCCCUAUUAAGUAGGGCAGCCGAGGAGAAAUACUACUGCCAGCGGAGCACAGCCGAAUUUCUUUAUUAGAGGAUUGUGUACCGUCUCCUUGGACUCCGUACCAAAUGGAAGUUUGAAGAACGUUUUUUCUCUCAAAACUUCUAGACCUGUAUCCUGCUCUGAAGAGCAGCUGGAUCUGUGAUGGAAACAUUUUAAAAAUAGUUCAGUCCGUAAUGCUGGGUACUGAAGCUGUUUCUGGCUCGUACUGCAGCACCGAAUAUCUCUUAACACUAACAGACCUGGUUGUCCGGGAACUAGCAUUGGUGACACGGGUGUCAACUUCUUAAAAUUUUUUUUGUUGUUAUAAUUUUUUUAAGAUAAACUCUCAAACUCUUCCCACCACCUCUGGGGAUUAAAAAACAAAACAAAAUCAUGGCUUUGAACAAAAUGGGGGCUUUAACCUCUUUGGGAAUGGUGCGUGUAUUUCAUGUUUAAAAACCUAGGCGUUGAAAAAACAAACAAACCUAGGAGUUGAGGCAAAACCCAUAUUGCCCCCAAAUUCUGGAAUCCUGAUGUAAGUAAACCUUUAACAAUAGUGGACUGCAGAUUCAUUUAUUUAUUAAUUUUUUAAUCAAGCCGUUAUGUGACUUUAAUAUUAGAGAAAGUGUGGGCAAUACAAGGCAAAAUAAUCUCAUUAUCAACAAUCACUUUAUAACUACAUUAUGAAAGUGAUAAUUGCUACGACAAAGUGUAAUGGCAGUACAAAGAAAGUUUCUAAUAGGACUGGGAGUAAGAAGGGCUUCCAUUUGAACUGGGCCUUUAAGGCUGGGUAGUUUUCCAGGCCACGCAGCUGUACUGAGAAUAGGAGACACUAAUCCAUUCUCCACAGUAAGUAGUGUGAUCCUUGAAAAAAAAUCAGCUGGUCAUAUCCCUAACAAAACCCUUCCUUGACUUUUUCACUUGGGAAUAAAAUUUGAACUGCCUACUCUGCCUAUUUACAACGACCUCCAUUACCAUUCUGCCUUCUUAUUAAGCUCUCCCUACAUUUUCCCUCAACUGUGCUGUCUCUUUCCCACCUCAGGACUUUUGCAACUUUCUGUUCCUGAUGCUCUUAUUCCAGCUCUUCACAUGGCUCAUUCAACUUCAUCCUUUAGGUCUCCCUAAAAUACUACUUUCUCUACUUUCCUGUCCUUCACUCUUGUUUAUGUCCUUCACAGAACUAGCUUACUACCUUGUUUACUUUCUGACUCGUUUAUUGUCUGAAUUCCCAUUAGAGUGUAAUCCUUAUGGCAGAGACCCUUAAUUACAACAAUAUCCCCAAAGUUUAGACCAGUGUCUAGCUCACAGUAGACAUUUGAUACAUGCUUAUUGAAUGAACAAAUAUCAGAAUGGCAAGAAAUUGUUUGCCUGAUGCUGUGUGGCUAGGAAAUAAAGCUAGAAGUACAGGUUAGGGCCAAAAUGUAUGCCAUGCUAAGGAUAUUGAAAUUUUAUCCCGUAGGCAAGAAUUUCUGUACUUCAAGUAUUUGAGUAUUCAUGAUUUUUCACAACUGUAAAUAGUCCCCAUGCUGUUUCUUGAUUAGUGUUUCUCCUUAUGUAGACUGACUUUUUAAUUAAACAAAUUUUCACUAAAUUUAAAUAUCACUGCCAUAAAUGUAAAAUCUGUAUUUUUUUCUACUACAGUUUCCGAUUAAAAUAUAAAAUAAGUAAAAAUGAAAAAUGUUUGCCCCUCUACCACCUAAAAUCAUCUCAGGUAAUACCAAGGGUUCCCAUAUAAAACUUCGGGGAAUGCUGUUAAGGACAAGGAUAGCUAAGUGAUGGUUUAAGCAAGGUAGUGGUGCACUCCUAAGUAUUUUAGAAAGAAAUCUGACAGUAGUUGAGAGGAUGUUAAGAAUGAAGGCAGAGGCUGGUAAGGAAGCUAUUGCAGUGGUCCAGCCCAGAGAUGAUAAAGGACUGAACUAAGGCAGUGGAUAUGGACAAGACAGAUUAGGAAGUUUAUAUAGGAGGUAAACUCAACAGCAAGUGACUGAUUAGAUCAUGGUAAGGAAUGGACCUAAGGUUCUAAUUUAAGUAACUGGGUAGAUAAUAAUCCUAAUAACAGAUUUGGGGAGUCAAAGAAGAGCAUGUAUGAAAUGGCUUUUAUUUUGAAUAUGUGACUUCAGAGAGCUUGUGUCAUAAAUUCAGGUGGUGAGGGGCACCUGGGUGGCUCAGUCGGUUGAGCGACCAACUUCAGCUCAGGUCAUGAUCUCACUGCUUGUGAGUUCAAGCUCCACAUGCAGCUCUGUGCUGACAGCUCGGAGCCUGGAGCCUGCUUCGGAUUCUGUGUCUCCCUCCCUCUCUGCCCCUCCCCUGCUUGCUCUCUCUCUCUCUUUCAAAAAUAAAUAAACAUUUAAAAAUUUUUAAAAAUAAGAUAAAUUCAGUUGGUGAUGUCAUGGAAAUAUAGAUGUAAAAGCUCAAAAGGGUGAAAGAGAUUGAGAAUGGUGUAUAAGAUAGAGUUGAAGUCACCAUGGUGAGUGAGUUCGCUAGUGGAAAUGGGUAGACCUUGAAAAGAAAGGGUCAGUGACAAAAUCCAGGUUCCUCAAAUGUCUGAAGGGGAAGCAGAAUGCCUUCCCCCAACAGUACAAUCUUAUUUCUGCCACCCAAAAAAUACUAAUCAAAAUUAUCUUUUAGUCUGUUUAUAAAAGAAAGGGUCGUUUUAGAGUUCCUCUGAUACAUAUGUCUUAAGAAAGAGUCAAUCUGGCUCACUAGACAAAAAUCUAUUUUUAAUUGUAUAAAAUUAUACAUAUAAAAUACAUAGAAAGUAGUAAAAAGAUAAGCAAAAUCUUUAACAAUGAAAGUGGACAGAUCAGGGAACAAUUUUUCUCCAGUGCUUUGGGAUCUUAACUGGUUGUUACUUGAGAAAAAUAAUCCAGGAGGUGCAAAGGAGAAGUUCUUCCCACAACUCACACCCCUUCACACUUCUCAGAGAAAGGAGCAUAGGAGAAAUGAGGGUUUAUGAUGUCUGGAUUAUAAAUAUCAAUAAAAACUGGGUAGACAUACCUGUUAUUUAACAUAGGAGCCUCUACUCCUACCCUACAUGUGCUUCGUGGUAUACAGAGAUGGGACUUGGAGAAUUCCAGGAGGUCCCUUUCGAGCACUAAAACAGUUGCUAGAUUCCUUACCACUGAUCCCAUAUGUACUGAUCACCAAGAUGAUUUCAAAAGCAAAAAAGCUGAUUUUCAUCUUAUCCCUGUCUGAUCCAAAAGAGCAAAUUGUGGCUUAUUUCCUAACCUAUUUCUAAAAACAAAGUGUUUAAUCAUAGAAUGGAAAGUCCAAUUUUGCAGAAACAGGAAACGUCCCAACACAUUUUAGAAAGUGCACCGAACUAUAAUAUAGUAUAAAGGAGUUUAUAGAAACAAAGGGAAAACACAUCUUUGAGAGACCUAUAAAAAAUUCUCCCAAAGAGGAAUGCUUUAGCUGUACUCCAGAUAUUUCUCCCCUAUUUCACCCAGGAGAGAGAUUGGGGGUGGGAGGCGGAGAGUCUUAAAAACACAGUUGAUCAUGUAGUCUCUUUUCCCUCCUGCAGUCUCCCCAGGGUUCCAGUUAGGAAGUGCCAUAAUGCCAGUCGCAACUAAUUUUCUUGAUCAACUCCUGCUCUAAUAACCAACGUGGAAGAAGAGGAAAGAAAAGAGAGAAAACAACUGUGAAUCUAUGGACAUCAAAGGUAGCAAACAGCAGCAACUUUGUGAGAGAGGAACACGGCCCUCACCAAAGAGGACAAAUAAUGUUUCCAAAGAGCAACAUGAAGGGAAGAGACAGAGUUGGGAAAUAUGUUUACCUCCUACCCAUUUCUGCAGACAGGAAGGUUUAAACACAGGGCUCAGUGAAGCUGGGUGAGCAGAGAGGAAUGAAGAGGGAAUAUUGGAAGAGGCUUCAAUGCUGAUCCCUUCUGGAGCAAGAACACACCCGGGAAGCUGGUAUGGUAUCUAUGCCCCAGAAGCAACUUAGGUGAUAAACACCUAGUUUUGUGUUUAUAAUUCCUCUCUUCUUCCUGGGAAGUUUCUCAGGAAUAAUUUGAACAAGCAGCUGUCUACUUCCUUCCAAAUUAAUAAAGGAAGUCUCAAAAUGAAGUACCGCUUGGAGGCAGAGGAGGAGUAAGGGAGUGGCGGGAAGCGGUUGGUGGGGAGUCUAGGCAAGGAAAUGUCUAGUCACUGGAGGAACAGCUCAGUACUAAGUAGGCCCAACUCAAGAUAAACUUAAGCCAAAGCCUUCAUACUCGUACCCUGUUUGGAGUCCAAGAGAAAGCAGGAAUGAGGUUGAGGGUGAGGGUGGGGCACACAGACCUUAUUCAAACUCCCUGUUAGAUUAUAAGAACACUUUGUCAAUCAUUUUGUGCUAUUGAAAUGACUACACAGAGCUGGGAGUAUAAGCACCAACAAAGCUCUGAAGACAGCCUGCUCUUUUUACAAAGUGGAAUGAGGAUGUUUCAAAGGAAACUACAUCCAAAAACUAGAAGAAAAGGGAUCUCUCAGCAAAUUGGGAUCUGAGUGUAGAAUUUAUACAUAUACAUAUAUAUAUCUAUAUUUUAAAGUAUAAAAUUGAGAAAGUAUGUACAGAAAUCAUACUAAGUCUUAGAAAAGACAUUAUCAAAAAGAGCCUGGAGAGGAUGGGGAGUAUGUGCAUGGACGCCUAGCAGUUGGAGGAAUGCAUAUUGCCCAACUGCCCAGCGGCCAGCAGGAGAAUAUCUUUCUUCUCCUUGUGGAAGCGCAGCUCCUUGCCUGCCAGCCGAGCUUCGUCCAGCUCCCGCUCAGUAGAGGCCAGCUCUCUAGACAGUGCCCCUGGCACACUCUGCUCCCGGCUCACCCAGUCCAAUGCCAUUUGAUGGCGAAUAUCAUCAUCCAGGGCCCGGUGUGAAUAAUGAGCCAACACUUCCUGCAAGGGGAAAGGAAAAUGAAGGUUACUGACAAAGUCAAGGUUCAUACCAAAUGGACCCAAUGGGAUGAGGAACUCUUAGCCUUGGAGUCCUAACUGAAGUCAGCACGUAAGUCCUUUAAGGAGAUUCUUAAGGGAAACUUCCCCGUGGGGGAAGCAAGGCAGGCAAAAGAGCUACAGUUAAGAUCUAAAUAGGAAAGAUGUUAGGAAUGAAGAGGGUACUUUGAGGCUUUCAGGAUUCACAACCUGGUAACUAUAGGCCUGCUUAUGUCUAACAUAACAGCCACCUCGAAAUAGUCCUUCUGCAAGACUCCUCUCACAGACAGGGUCUCUUACCUGCCGAGAGCACUGUCUCUCCCUCAUGGCCUUAAGGCUGCCAUUCCAGUGCAGCAGCUGAAAAACUGUCAUUAGUUCCUGGAGGAAGAAGACAUGAAGUGCCAGAACAGUGAUUUAUAUUGAGGGUUUGCAUCACAAUUACAUGGGGGACCUUUUACAGAAUGUAUUUACGUAAGCAUCUCUUUUUUUUUUUUUUUAAUUUUUUUUUCAAUGUUUAUUUAUUUUUGGGACAGAGAGAGAAAGAGCAUGAACGGGGGAGGGGCAGAGAGAGAGGGAGACAGAAUCGGAAACAGGCUCCAGGCUCUGAGCCAUCAGCCCAGAGCCCGACGCGGGGCUCGAACUCACAGACCGCGAGAUCGUGACCUGGCUGAAGUCGGACGCUUAACCGACUGCGCCACCCAGGCGCCCCUAUAAGCAUCUCUUAUACCAACUCUGAUGUGCCCUUCAGGGAAGGAAGGUAUUUAUAUAUUGAAAAAUAUUCUAACCUUCUCUCCCUUCCCUUCCAACUGAUGAUCAAUGAGUUAGGGAUUAGAAGGAAAUAUAAUUAAUAUAAUAUAAUAUAAUAUAAUAUAAUAUAAUAUAAAUGCAGGUUGAUCCAUGUUAUGAGAGCCAUAGUACCUGGAACUCCAACAUUGACUUGCCCUUGUUGGAUUCCAGCAUGAAUCGGAAGGCACCAAUCCCUGUGUUUGGGUUGUCAGCUUCCUCCCUGUUGCCCUGUAACAGAGGAAAGGAAAAGACAAAUAGAUUUUCAAUCAGGAUUAUCACCUCAAGCAGCACUGUCCUGUAGAAAUAUAACGCAAGCCCCCAAUCUAAUGUAACAUUUUCUAGUUGCCACGUUAAAGUAAAAAUAAACAGGUAAAAUUAAUGUAAAUAGCAUGUUUUAUUUAAGCUAAUAUAUUCAAAAUAUAAUUUAGCUAUACUUAGCAUAAAAAUUUUUCAUGAAAUUUUUACAUUCUUUUUCUUAUACCAGGGUUUCAAAAUCUGAAGUCUCUUCCACAUUUACAGCACAUCUCGAUUCAUACUAGCCACAUAUCAGGUGUUUAACAGCUACAUGUGGCUGGUGGCUAUUCUGCUGGUCAGCAUAGACCUAGAAGACUCCAAAGUCAUCACACAUAUUAACUCAAGUGACAGAGGUCAAUCUGAUUUUCCCUAUCUUACAAAGAGGGAACACUGAAACAUAGAGAAGAACCCCGAUUUAGCCAAAAUAACAGAGUGAGUCCAACACACAGGAUUGGACUAGCCUAGAGGAUAAUUGGGCAAAUGCAUUUUCAAGGGAAACAGUAGGAGCCAUAAAGCAUAGUAAAUUCUGGGUAGCAGUUUGGCCUCUUAGACAUUUGGCUUGUGUGUUCUAGUGGUUACAUGACCCUGUGGGGAUAGAACUAAGAUUCAUUGCCUGUGCAAACAAACAAUACGGUAUAGACUGGAUCUCCUACUAAUCUUGAGGCCUUGGGGAAGUCAUUUAACCUCUCUGUUCCUGUUUCCUCAUCUGUAAAAUGGGAAUAAUCACAGAUCUAUCUCCUAAGAUUGUUUUGAGAAUUAAAUAAGAAAUUAUUUAAAAAGGGAUAAAUGUGGUUUUAAAACUCCAAUUAUAUAAAAUGUGGUACAUUAUUAUACUAGACUUGGUAUCCAGUUACACAAUCCAAAUCCAUUCUGGUACUGGCUUUGGUUUAGUGGUACUUGAUGGUGGUUUAGUAUUACUGGGGAUAAUUCCAGACCCUGGGGCUGGCUGGGACUUCCAAAAUAAGGGUAGCUGCUAUUUUUUUUUGGUGACCUUUUUGUCAGCCUGAUCUAGGAAAAUAAAACCAGGAGACUUCUGGGAACACAGGAACCCAACUUUCUCCUUCUACUUCCUGACAAGUUGCCUGAUCUUUCUAGCCCAUUCUGCACCACCGUCCCUGCUCCACGCCUCCCAAGAUUCUGCUCUCUUUGAGAAAGGGGACUAGGUAGAAGUGAGGAGCCAAUCAAGUUAUAUCCAAAUUCAGUUUAUUAUGGGGCACUUCUCCAUGGGGCUGUACUGUAUAUGUAUUAUAAUAAUUCCAUGUGCUUAGUAAGUAUACCAUAUGUGCUGGCUUAUUUGUUUUCACUCUGCUAGAAUCAACAAGAAGUCACACAAGAUCAACCCAUAUUAUUUUGUGGCUUCUGAGAAGCAACAUGCCAACCAGUAGUUAAUCUUCAUGGUGAAGCAAAGAACACAAAAUUUGGAUUUAAAAAAGAAAAGCUACAGAGAGGAAGGAAAAAGGUAACCUUCACUAUUAGCAUUUAGGGCCCUGAAGCAAUUAACCUGUUUCAUGGUUGCCUAUAAUCAUUCAAUAUGGUACCUUAUUCAGUACCUCCAGAGUUUUCCAUGAUAUAGUACAUAGAAAGUAAUGAUUAUCUCUGUACAGCCAACUGGGGUAUACAGAAGAAGCUGCGGGCAGAGGAGCCCAUCUAUCCCAGGCCUUGCUCUUGGACAGAGCAUGAGCAGCGGAGGGGCAGAGAAAGAGAGGGAGACACAGAAUCUGAAGCAGGCUCCAGGCUCUGAACUGUCAGCACAGAGCCCGAGGCGGGGCUCGAACUCACAAGCCAUGAGAUCAUGACCUGAACCGAAGUCAGACCCCCAACUGACUGAGCCACCCAGGUGCCCUGAAAUCAAUGUGAUUUGGAGUAUGGCGAUUCCACUGGGAAAUUAAUGAGCAAUCUAUUAAAUUCUCAGUUUUGAGGGGUUAGGCAAAUAGAAAUAUUGGCAGAGAAUAAAAACAAUUUGUUUCCUAAACACUUUGUAGUAGACACUGCUGGUGACUUAGCCGACAUCUGUUUCCUUCUUCCUUACUAUAGAACCUUAAUCUUGUUCUACUACCUACCAUCUCCCAUGUAUCUCCCUCAGGGAAGAGUGAUUUUAUCCUCUAAUUUCAGUGGGUAAAUCCUAACCCAUUUUGCUUGUAAUUGGUUUUAAGGUGGGAAUUCUGGCCAUUAGGAAGUAGAAGGGAGGUCUACUGGCGGGUUUCUGGGAGAAGAUUCCUUACUACUAAAGAGGUACUAAAAGAAGGUCUCAGGGCACCUGACUGGCUCAGUUGGUAGAGCAUGCAACUCAAUCUCAGGGUCUUGAGUUCAAGCCCCACAUUGGGUGUGGAGCCUACCUACUUAAGAAAGAAAGAGAGAAAGAAAGAUGGUGUCUUUCUGUCUUUGAAUAUGGUUACAUCUGUAUUUAAUAUCUGAAAUUCUGUAGUCAUCUUGCACCCUUGCAUCUGAAGGGAGCCAGCUCAAGGACAAAGACAGUAUCUAGAGGAUGGCUGAAUGGAGAGAUGGAAAGAAUUUGGCUAGUAGAUGAUGACAUUCUUGAUCCAUGGAAUCAACCAGCCUUGAAAUCUUCUCUACUUCUGGACUUCCUGUCAUGUUAGAGAGUAAAUUUCCUUUCUUGGUGUAUUCCCUUAAGUCAGUUUGAAGUAAGAUUUUUCUAUUACUUGCAUCCAAAGGCAUCAAAACAGAUAACACGUGCUAAGUGCUUAAAUAUAUUCUCUUCUAUCCAGUAAUCCUACAGGUAUAAUUGUUACAGAUGAGGAAAUUGAGACUUAGAUUAAGUAACUUGCUCAAAGCCACAUAGCUAGUAGAACCAUAAUUUCAAAAUGAUGAAUUCAGAGUCCAUGCUUAUAAGCAUUGCUUUCUAUAAUCCAAACCAGUGUUUCACUUUAUAAUAUAUUAGGUGACUUAAGAGUGAUAAAUGUACUUUCUUAAUUUAAUUGGCUUUGAUCAAUAUAAAAAAUUGUUUUUAUUCCUUGUAGAUACUUCUGACCAGGGCAAAGAGAAAUGGGAGGAAAUCAGAUGGGUAACAGAGGGAAGCCAACUUAUUAUCUAAAGUGUUCAACA